This 1904-nucleotide unclassified non-coding RNA is filed under the name Leishmania donovani. RNAcentral's name for it is "gene:LdHU3.29.2200(CDS-product:LYAR-type_C2HC_zin c_finger_containing_protein_putative)". Lineage: Eukaryota; Euglenozoa; Kinetoplastea; Trypanosomatida; Trypanosomatidae. The record is from RNAcentral.
GACGAACAACAGCAAAGGUCAGACGAACCUAUUCCUACAUACACGCACACGCCCACUCAGGCACACAUGAGACACCACCCACUCACCCCCCUCGCCCUCCCAUCAUCGAUCCCGUUCACCUCUAUCCCUCCCGUCGUUAUCGGUCGAUCAUCCUUCACAGACAUACACGCUAAAACGGGGCAGUAGAAGUUUUUUUUUGCGGUUAUUAUGGUGUCGUUUACGUGCAACUACUGCCAGGAUGUGGUGAAGAAGCCGAAGGUGCAGAGCCAUGCAUAUGCCUGCGGUUGCGAUACCUUCACCUGCGUCGAUUGCAUGCAGUUGUUCGACUUAGGCACCGUCAAGGGGCACACGUCCUGCGUGACGGAGGAGGAGAAGUACCAAGGAAAGUGGAAGGAAAAGCUCAGGAACGGCAGCAAGGCCGCCAAGUUGGCGGAAGCGCCACGCAGCGAUAUUGGGCGCCAGCCGCGUGCGCCAAUGAACGACCUCAGCUCUUCUGAUGACAGCAGCGACGGCGACUGGGUGACCCAGAGCAGCGGUAAGGGUGCAGGUGCAUCCAACGGACACCAAAAGCCAAGCGCGAUCGCGUACCGCAAGCGCCCGUGUCCUGGCUUGUGCCUCUCCUCUUCCGACGACGAGGGGAUGGGAAGAGGUGUCCCCACAGCGCCGGUGGCACCUGCGCACAAGAAGGCAAAAACGGUUUGCUCAGCCUCCUCGACGCCGUCGUCGGCGCUACCGGAGGCUGCGCCUGUCCUGACGGAGCGGUCGCCUGCAAACUGGAAGCCUGGAGCGAAGAAGGGCACCGCAUCGCCUGCCGCCUCGGUGCCGCACCGUCGGCCCAAGGAGGUGAAGGACGAGGGAGAAUGCAAGGUGACACAUCCCGGCAAGAAGGAUACGCCACUGCUCCUGCCGCGUUCCACGAUGUCGAGGGACUGCAUGGUGCCCACCUUCCUGUUAGGCACCAGCGAAGAGGUGGCUGACAUCGUGGCAGACGUCCUGCGCAACAGCGGUGUCUCCUCCAUGCGCACCAAGGAUGUUGCGAAGGAGCUCGUGGAGCGGUACGCUAAGCGAAUUGCUAAGUCGGUGCGCCACGCGGUGGAGACAGCGGCCGAAUUGGGUGCCUUGAAGAUCGACAGCGAGGGCAACGUGUCGGUUGCGUAAGACAAACACGUGCGUGGCGAGUAGUGGAGUCGUUUGAACACAGCUGUGCCGUGUGGUAUCGGGGUGUGAACAUUUUGACAGCGCUGUUAUGCGGCGCUGCCUCUGCACUUGUCUCUGGCGCGGUGUGGUACGUUUUUGAUUGAGAACACAGAAGAAAACUCUGCAUUAACGCGUAAGUGUAACGGCAUGCGGGGCGCCAGUGGUCGGGGUCACCUUCAACACGACACCAUCGUUGUCGUCUUUGACCGUCCUACGGUGGUGAUGUUGCUGCCCGUCUCUCUGUCUCUCACGCAUAUCCUGCGUCACAAUGUGUGCUUGCUUGCGUGCGUGUGUGUAUACAUGUCGAGCACACCUUCGGCUAACACGAAAAACAAAACAAACAAUAGUAAGGCAGCGGAGAACAGGCGUAGACUUGCAAGCGUGAGGUCGGCGAGGCCAUAAAUUCAUGCCGACGGCACACGCAAGAUAGAGGUUGGAGUGCCUUUUCGACAGUCUCGCAGUGGGCCUCCGUCAUUGCAGUGUGUGCUGUCCUUUUUUGUUGCUGUUUUACCUCUGGCAGCAUGCAUGAGACUUUGCAGCUGCUAGGGAGCGUCGCCGUUACAACGCAGUACUGCCAGAACGUCUCUCUCUUGCUUUGUCGGCCUUAUCCCAGUAUUCAGUACCACGGCACCGGCCUAUUAGUAUCACGCAGAACCUAAACGACUCUCGACAGGAUGAGGGCCGCCUCUUGGGGGUGGGAUAAAGGC